RNAcentral lists this ribosomal RNA (292 nucleotides) under uncultured bacterium. Its description in RNAcentral is "partial 16S ribosomal RNA". The record is from RNAcentral.
GGACUACACGGGUAUCUAAUCCCGUUCGCUCCCCGCGCUUUCGCGUCUCAGCGUCAGGGCCGGACCAGGGCGCCGCCUUCGCCACGGGUGUUCCUCCUGAUCUCUACGCAUUUCACCGCUACACCAGGAAUUCCACGCCCCUCUUCCGGCCUCAAGCCGCGCAGUCGCGGGCGGCGUCCCGGGGUUGAGCCCCGGGCUUUCACACCCGACUUACGCAGCCGCCUACACGCGCUUUACGCCCAGUAAAUCCGGACAACGCUCGCCCCCUACGUAUUACCGCGGCGGCUGGCAC